AUUGAACGCUGGCGGCAUGCCUUACACAUGCAAGUCGAGCGGUAACGGGCCUUCGGGUGCCGACGAGUGGCGAACGGGUGAGUAAUACAUCGGAACGUGCCCGAUCGUGGGGGAUAACGAGGCGAAAGCUUUGCUAAUACCGCAUACGAUCUACGGAUGAAAGCAGGGGACCGCAAGGCCUUGCGCGGACGGAGCGGCCGAUGGCAGAUUAGGUAGUUGGUGGGAUAAAAGCUUACCAAGCCGGCGAUCUGUAGCUGGUCUGAGAGGAUGAUCAGCCACACUGGGGCUGAGGCACGGCCCAGACUCCUACGGGAGGCAGCAGUGGGGAAUUGUGGACGAUGGGCGCAAGCCUGAUCCAGCCAUGCCGCGUGCAGGAUGAAGCCCUGCGGGUUGUAUACUGCUUUUGUACGGAACGAAAAGCCUUCUUUGAAUACAGGAGGGUCAUGACGGUACCGUAAGAAUAAGCACCGGCUAACUACGUG
This 482-nucleotide ribosomal RNA is filed under the name uncultured bacterium. RNAcentral describes it as "partial 16S ribosomal RNA". It matches the Rfam family "Bacterial small subunit ribosomal RNA", at positions 30 to 507 of the family's 1533-position model. The record is from RNAcentral.